Molecule: ribosomal RNA, 443 nt
Filed under: uncultured bacterium
Lineage: Bacteria
Description: partial 16S ribosomal RNA
Rfam family: Bacterial small subunit ribosomal RNA
Source: RNAcentral
CCUACGGGAGGCAGCAGUGGGGAAUAUUGGGCAAUGGGCGCAAGCCUGACCCAGCAACGCCGCGUGAAGGAAGAAGGCUUUCGGGUUGUAAACUUCUUUUAAGAGGGAAGAGCAGAAGACGGUACCUCUUGAAUAAGCCACGGCUAACUACGUGCCAGCAGCCGCGGUAAUACGUAGGUGGCAAGCGUUGUCCGGAAUUACGGGGUGUAAAGGGCGGGCAGCCGGGAAGACAAGUCAGAUGUGAAAUCCCGCGGCUCAACCGCGGAACUGCAUUUGAAACUGUUUUUCUUGAGUACCGGAGAGGUCAUCGGACUUCCUUGUGUAGCGGUGAAAUGCGUAGAUAUAAGGAAGAACACCAGUGGCGAAGGCGGAUGACUGGACGGCAACUGACGGUGAGGCGCGAAAGCGUGGGGAGCAAACAGGAUUAGAUACCCCCAGUAGUC